Molecule: ribosomal RNA, 497 nt
Filed under: uncultured bacterium
Lineage: Bacteria
Description: partial 16S ribosomal RNA
Rfam family: Bacterial small subunit ribosomal RNA
Source: RNAcentral
GAUGAACGCUGGCGGCGUGCCUAAUACAUGCAAGUCGAGCGAACGGACGAGAAGCUUGCUUCUCUGAUGUUAGCGGCGGACGGGUGAGUAACACGUGGAUAACCUACCUAUAAGACUGGGAUAACUUCGGGAAACCGGAGCUAAUACCGGAUAAUAUUUUGAACCGCAUGGUUCAAAAGUGAAAGACGGUCUUGCUGUCACUUAUAGAUGGAUCCGCGCUGCAUUAGCUAGUUGGUAAGGUAACGGCUUACCAAGGCAACGAUGCAUAGCCGACCUGAGAGGGUGAUCGGCCACACUGGAACUGAGACACGGUCCAGACUCCUACGGGAGGCAGCAGUAGGGAAUCUUCCGCAAUGGGCGAAAGCCUGACGGAGCAACGCCGCGUGAGUGAUGAAGGUCUUCGGAUCGUAAAACUCUGUUAUUAGGGAGGAACAUAUGUGUAAGUAACUGUGCACAUCUUGACGGUACCUAAUCAGAAAGCCACGGCCAACUACGUG